AGUCUUGUGUCCUGUCAUCCCUUCUCCGAACAGGAGGCUGGGUUAUUGGGAAGAGUCUACAGGAUCAUAUGGUGGACAGACCUGUAAAACUGUAUGAGUGUUGGUGAGCAGUCUUUUUUUUGUCAGGAACUUGAUAAAUGAAUGUGGACAAUGUGGAACAUCUAGUGGACAGAGAAAAGGGGUGUGGACUCAAGUGACCUCCAUUCCUUUGGUUUCUUCACCUGACGAGUGCAUCAGAGACGAUGUGAGUUGGUUCUGGGAACUGCUUAGAGAUGGCACAGUCUAAUCCUCUAGCUUCUCAUGAGUCCUGGUGGAAGCAACCUGACCCGGGCUGCACACAGCACAUCACCAACUCAGAUCCAACACUGCUCCCUCGGCACCCUCGGUUCAGCCCCAGCUCAGGACGUGUCUCUUUCUGCCAGGUACCUCACUUAAAACAGCUAAACCUGUGUCAACUAAGAGUCCAGUCCUGCACUCUGAGAACUCAUGAAGUGAUGCAAAUACACAGAUGCUCAAGUCAGAAGAGAUUCCUGUCUCAUUGUCAUCAUCUGAGCCUUGUGGCCCAGUGGACAAUGAAGAUGAGGAAACAGGAUCAGAGGUGAAGUGACUUACCUGAGUGAUAAGUGGCAGAGCUGAUUUUGAAGCCAAGUUUGUCCACGAUCCGUCUGUGCUUUUAGUUCUUAACCCUAGUGGAUCAGAAUCUCCUGGGAAGUUGGUGAAAACGUUGAUGGCUGGGCCCCAGCCCAGAAUUUCUGAUUCAGUCAGUAUGCUGUGUGGGCAGGGCAAUUUGCAUUCCUAACAAGUGCCCAGAUGAUGCUAAUGCAGCUGGUCCAGGGACCACACUUUGAAAACUACUCAUUAAAUCUCAGAGGGCAUGAAGAUUCCAAGAGUAAAAGAGAGAAGUCUGAGAAAACACUGCCAGAUCCCUCUGGCUUAUGAAAGGAAAGAAAGCAUCAGUUUCCCAGGACUGGAUCAAGAGUUUCUAUGUCAUUCCUGCGUCUGUUAGAGCCCCAACCCCAUUCCAGAACUCCUUUCAAAGAAUCAGUGAACAGUUAUUAGUUGAACUGAGGGAUUAACUGACCAGUCAUGAUGGACCUCUGUAGGGACUUAUUCAUCUGAAAAGAAUGCUUGACAUUUAUUCUGAAAGACGUCUUUCUAUAGACCCUCAAUCCUUGUAGAACCAAAUGACACUUGCCCCUAUAUAUAUUUCAAUGAAUUUCAAAUAUUUUCUAAUUUAUUCUUAGACAUGUGUAUCAGAGGGAUAUCAUUCAUCAAAUUUUGCAGGCCUUUGAAUAAGGGCCAUUGCAAAAUAAUAGGGAGGGGAAAAAAAUCAACACAGAACUGUUCAUCAUGUUAUUCAAAAAAAGCAAACUUAAACCGGGUUUGGCAAAACAUCCAAGCUUUAAACAACAUUUCAGAGUUGACCCUAGUGUCCAAAGGGGUUAAAUUUCUUUAAUUUCCCAAGUCUUUGGACCCCAAGACCCUCAUUCAGCUGCACUUGUCCCUAAAGUGCAAUAAGAAAAAAAGCUAAUUUUAUUCAUUAACUUGAUCUUUAUCAGUAGAAUCACAAGGAAUGCUCAGCCCCGGUGGCCCACUGGAGUCACUUGGGGAGCUUCUAAACAUCUCUUUGCUCCUGGACACCUCCCAGACCAAGCACAUCAGAUCUCUAAUGAAGCUUGUGAAUCCUAAAUAUCUCCCUUAAAGUGAGUCCCCUUGCUUUAGAAUAUGGAGACAGCUACUGCCCAGCGCUCUGACUGAAGGGUGAUGAAUUGGGAGAGAACUCUUACUUGUUGAAGAUCUUCUGAUGCCAGCCUUGUCCCAGCCACUUAACAGCCCUACAAGACAGGUAUUACUGUGUCCACUUUGUAGAGGACACAGCUGCCAGUCAGGAAGGUGAAGUGACUUGUUCAAGGUGGCAAAGUGGGAAUGUGGAGGCAGGCUUCACUCUUUCCUCCUCAGGAGAGAGGAGAGAGAUGAGAGUCCCUCUGACAUCCUCUGCCUGCUCCCUCCUGUGUAAGGCAACGCCUCUCUGUCCUUCCACCUGGACCCCUGUGCCCAGCUUGGAAACAGUUCAUGACCUGCUCCACUUCUAGGCCUCUGUAGCUAAAGGUCUAGGUCAGGACUCCUCUCCCAUCCCCACGCCCCCACGACUCGCUGUGAGAUAGAUGGUAGGUGACACGGGCCCUGCAGGCUUCUCCCUG
Molecule: long non-coding RNA, 2201 nt
Organism: Bos taurus (domestic cattle)
Lineage: Eukaryota; Metazoa; Chordata; Mammalia; Artiodactyla; Bovidae
Source: Ensembl